Molecule: long non-coding RNA, 2714 nt
Organism: Gopherus agassizii (Agassiz's desert tortoise)
Lineage: Eukaryota; Metazoa; Chordata; Testudines; Testudinidae
Source: Ensembl
CCCUGGUGUAAACAUGGAGUAAUUCCAUGACUUCAUAGGAGUUACUCCUGUCUUCCAACUGUGUAAAUGGGAACUAGGCCCUAUAUGUCUAUAGAAACAGAGACUGAACAGUAAAAAUAAAUAUGACCCAAUGAAUAGAGAGACACUGAUGUGGUGUAAAUAGUGCCACAUUUAAACAAAAGCUAAAACUACUCAUUGCAAAGGUUAUCUUUUCCCUUUGUUAAGGCUGUUGUGGGAAUGGGCUGAGGUGGGUGUAUUUUGGGGCAUUCCUUUAUUGAUGUAUAUGUGACUUUAGUUUAUGGUGUAGGUGCCCAGAUCACUGGAUAUGAGCCUGUACAGUAUUUUUGAAAUGGAAUAAAUUUUAAAAAGACAUUUUAUUUUCUCUGAAAUGGAAGAAAUGGAUGAGGGAUUGCAUAUUCUCUGCACUCUGUCAUUUAACUCUGAAACUUCCUUUGAGGCUGCCAGACAGGCUACUAUGGCUCAGAUUGUCAAGCCACUUGCCAUCCCUGCACCAAUGGUUUUCCUUGCAGCGGUGUUACUGGACACUGUGUAGGCACUGCCAGAGUUACUUGCAGCUUACAGUCUCAGGAUCCACGGUGCUCUCCUAGCGAAGGUACAGAAAGCAACAGUUUGGACGUUCAUAUCCUUGUAUUUAUUGAGGUCCUGUUGGCUCUUUUAUUUCCAAAGUCGGUUACCAUAACAAUUUGUGGUGGUCAGUUUCCAGGCAGUUGUGCCCCCAGGGGCCUCGAUGGCAUUAUUUUCGAAAGGCGUGUUACUAUGUGGAAGAUACUAAAACUAAAACGUGGACUGAGGCCAGGAGUGCGUGUCAGGGCUUUAAGGAGACAGACCUUGCUAAAAUUACAAACAGUGCAGAAAAGGCUUGGAUUCAGUUUAAAGGGGAGAACAGCUGGAUAGGUUUGACCUAUAAGAAAGAAGACUUCAGAUAUAUGUGGGUCGAUGGCACAUCUGCUCAGGCUGAAAGUGCAUGGGUCGCGAAACGUAACAGGAGGCAUACACUCACUAAAGAAGACUGUGUGGUUGCCUUCAAGCAAUACCUUUCCCCAGCAGAUUGUUCUUCUCUGAGAAAGUGGAUAUGCAAAAGAGAAGGAGACGUCAACCUCUUCACAACGCACAAGGGGAGAGCUUUGUACUCCCCUUACGUACCAACAUCAAAUAUAUAUAACACCUUAAAGAAAGCUACAGAUACCUGCUCAGUGCUCCAGACAUGCACUGGGAUAGUGGCAAUGGGGGAGCACUACAUUCUACAAAGUGGGAUGGAACUGUAUAACAGCAGGAACAGUAGUGUGAAAUCCUUUAUCAAGUCAGAUUGCAUCUCUGGAAGAUUUGGGCUUCUGUGCGAAUUUAAAUGUCCACCAUGCCAGCAGGGUAUGGCCUGCAAUCCAUACACAGGGCUGUGUGGGGACACUGUGUUUUGCAGUAAGGAGAAUAGUCCUAUCCCCUGUGGAAAAGGGUCCAUAUUUGGUGGCUCGUGCCCAGUUGAAGAUGGGUGGCAGUACUGGCAAGGCAGCUGUUACUAUAUCCACACAGCAAAGAGACAAAGCUGGCUACGUGCAAGAGACCUAUGCAGGCGUUACAGAGACGCAGAUCUUCUGUGGCUGACAAGUCCUUUGGAAAAGGAAUGGCUGGUAUCUAAACUUCCCAAAGCAUCAUUCUGGACUGGCCUUUAUGGGUUUAGAUUCUGUGCAGUCUUGCAGUGGUCGAACAGUCAAUUCCCAUUUGCAGCCUCAAGAUGGUUGUCUGUAAGCAAGUGGGCCAUAGGUGCUAAGUGCUGUGUGCAGCUUAAUGCUCCCGAAGGCUCUUUGACAGCUUUCAGCUGCUUUCGGAAAGCCCUGUGGAUUUGCAAGAGAAAAGAAGAAGGAAUUGUGGAUUUCCGGGAGUUCCGAGGCUAUUACCUGGCUGGCACUUACACUUCAAAUUCCACACAGUGGUCGUUAUGGGAAGCCCUACAGCUCUGUAGAUUUCAACGAAGCAUUUGCAAUGGAGUUGGGAUGAUCAAAGGGGAGUACAGAACUAUAUUUGCAACCCGAAUUCUACUCAUCGUUGGAGCCCUUGGAGAUGAAAGCACCGCAUAUUUGAAAUCACCUUGUCUCCCAGGGCACUAUGGUCCUGAAUGCCAGGGCAGUUGCACCUGCAAUAGAAUUGAAAACUGCAGCCCCUUCACUGGAGAAUGUGCAGAGAAUUUACAGUGUUCUCAGGAAUACGUGGCACAGCAGUGCCAAAAAGGAGUGAUCAAUAUGAAAUGCCCAGAGGACCCUGGUUGGUGGUACUGGAAUGGCAGCUGUUAUUAUAUGGAAGAAACUAAUAGUUUGACCUGGCUGGAAGCUAAGAAUUAUUGCACUGCCUAUAAUGGCACUGACCUACUAUUGCUAGAUAGUGCAGAAGAAAAGGCCUGGAUAACCUCAGUGUUAUGGAAACCUGUUUGGAUUUUCUCGUUGGGUGCCUUGCAAAGCGAUGUGGAGAAAUCAAGCAGGAAGAAUCAGCGUGUCAUGUGACAGCAUGUUUUGGAAAUAUUCCAGAAGGCUGCUUACUAAGCCUUUAGGGGGAGAUACAUAUUCAUCCUUGGAGUUUGCUCUGUCAGCCUGUAUUUUAAAAGCAGAUUGCUCUGGAGUCACCUACUGGGGAAAGCGUUACAUACCAGUCACUGGUAAAGAACUGAUCUUCAGCAAAAACAGACAGGAUGCAGUGUACUUGAG